Molecule: unclassified non-coding RNA, 148 nt
Organism: Pongo abelii (Sumatran orangutan)
Lineage: Eukaryota; Metazoa; Chordata; Mammalia; Primates; Hominidae
Rfam family: Metazoan signal recognition particle RNA
About the family: The signal recognition particle (SRP) is a universally conserved ribonucleoprotein. It is involved in the co-translational targeting of proteins to membranes.
Source: Ensembl
GCCGGGUGUGGUGGCGCAUGCCUGUAAUCCCAGCUACCCAGGAGGCUGAGGCAGGAGAAUCACUUGAACCCAGGAGGCUGAGGUUGCAGUGAGCCAAGAUCACACCACUGCACUCCAGCCUGGGUGACAGAGUGAGACUCCAUCUCAA